This 459-nucleotide ribosomal RNA is filed under the name uncultured bacterium. RNAcentral's name for it is "partial 16S ribosomal RNA". It matches the Rfam family "Bacterial small subunit ribosomal RNA", at positions 338 to 795 of the family's 1533-position model. The record is from RNAcentral.
CCUACGGGUGGCAGCAGUGAGGAAUAUUGGUCAAUGGCCGGAAGGCUGAACCAGCCAAGCCGCGUGAAGGACGAAGGUGCCAAGCAUUGUAAACUUCUUUUGUCAAGGGACAAAAUCAGGCUCGAGAGCCUGACCGAGGGUACUUGAAGAAAAAGCAUCGGCUAACUCCGUGCCAGCAGCCGCGGUAAUACGGAGGAUGCGAGCGUUAUCCGGAUUUAUUGGGUUUAAAGGGUGCGUAGGCGGGCUGUUAAGUCAGCGGUCAAAUGUCGGGGCUCAACCCCGGCCUGCCGUUGAAACUGGCGGCCUCGAGUGGGCGAGAAGUAUGCGGAAUGCGUGGUGUAGCGGUGAAAUGCAUAGAUAUCACGCAGAACUCCGAUUGCGAAGGCAGCAUACCGGCGCCCGACUGACGCUGAGGCACGAAAGCGUGGGUAUCGAACAGGAUUAGAUACCCGAGUAGUC